CACGUAGGGGGCAAGCGUUGUCCGGAUUUAUUGGGCGUAAAGAGCGUGUAGGCGGCCGUACAGGUCAGCUGUGAAAACUCGAGGCUCAACCUCGAGACGUCGGUUGAAACCGUACGGCUAGAGUCCGGAAGAGGAGAGUGGAAUUCCUGGUGUAGCGGUGAAAUGCGCAGAUAUCAGGAAGAACACCCGUGGCGAAGGCGGCUCUCUGGGACGGUACUGACGCUGAGACGCGAAAGCGUGGGGAGCGAACAGG
Molecule: ribosomal RNA, 253 nt
Filed under: uncultured bacterium
Lineage: Bacteria
Description: partial 16S ribosomal RNA
Rfam family: Bacterial small subunit ribosomal RNA
Source: RNAcentral